GUGACGGCAGGCGGCGAGCAGCGGUAGUGCCGUAAAGCGCGGGUGAUGUCGGGCGCUGGGGGUCCUGGGGCUGCUGUCGGGGCUUCGGGCUUUGCCAAGCGGCUCCUGGUGACGGGCGGCGCCGGGUUCAUUGCAUCACAUGUGGUUGUGUCUCUUGUAGAAAACUAUCCAAACUAUCUGAUUAUCAAUCUAGAUAAGCUGGACUAUUGCGCAAGCUUGAAGAAUCUUGAAACCAUUUCUGAGAAGCAAAACUACAAGUUUAUCCAGGGUGACAUCUGUGAACCCCAUUUUAUAAAACUACUUUUUGAAACUGAGAAAAUUGAUAUAGUACUACAUUUUGCAGCACAAACCCACGUAGAUCUUUCAUUUUGGCAUUCCUUGGAAUUCACUUAUGUGAAUGUUUAUGGCACUCAUGUUCUGGUCACUGCUGCAUAUGAAGCCAGUGUGGAGAAGUUCAUUUAUGUCAGCACAGAUGAAGUAUAUGGAGGUAGCAUUGAUGAGGAAUUUGAUGAAGCUUCACCCAAACGACCAACGAAUCCUUAUGCCUCAUCUAAAGCAGCUGCUGAAUGCUUUGUUCAGUCUUACUGGGAAAGGUAUCAGUUUCCAGUUGUUAUCACACGAAGCAGCAAUGUUUAUGGACCACAUCAGUAUCCAGAAAAAGUUAUUCCAAAGUUUAUAUCUUUGUUGCAUCAGAACAGGAAAUGCUGCAUUCAUGGUUCUGGGCUUCAGAGAAGGAAUUUUCUUUACACCACUGAUGUAGUAGAAGCAUUCCUUACUGUUCUAAAGAAGGGGAAGCCAGGUGAAAUUUAUAACAUUGGAACCAGUUUUGAAAUGUCCAUUGUACAGCUUGCUAAAGAAUUAAUCCAUCUAAUAAAAAAGACCAAUUCAGAAUCUGAAAUGGAACAUUGGGUGGAUUAUGUAAAAGACAGACCUACCAAUGACCUAAGAUAUCCAAUGAAUUCAGAAAAAAUGCACAAUUUAGGAUGGAGACCUAAAGUUCCUUGGAAGGAAGGAAUAAAGAAAACAAUUGAAUGGUACAGAGACAAUUUUCGCAACUGGAAGAAUGCGGAGAAAGCUUUGGAACCCUUUCCUGUGACAGAACUAUUUGCCCAGCUUGAUGUGCCGUAGGGAGGAAGAGAGAACAUAAAGGAAAUUCACCCUCUCUCCUCGUGACCAUGUCUUCUUUAUAGAAACUUGCAGUCAAGUGACCAAGACGAAGUCUUCUCAUAUUUCAAGAUGCAUGGACAAUUAUGAAUUCACAGCUGUAAAUAAGGAACAAAAUGGGAAAGAUUUUCAGAGCUUUUUAAUACUUGAUUUUGAGAUGUAAAUCAGUUUUUAGUGCAAUAUCCUUAAAUUUUUUAUAGAAAUUUAUUUUAAAUAACUAUAUGAAGGAUUUUUAUAACACUAUACAUUGAUACACUUGAUUUUAAACCUGUUUUGUUCACUUUGACUAAGAAACAUUUUUGAAUACAACUCUUGGUAUUUUUUGAUAAAAAUAUGUUAUUGGUGUGUUUAAGUUCAGAAAUGCAUCAGAUGUACAAGACAAGUCAUCACUUCUUAUAGUUGUUCCAUCACGUUAGCUACAAAAUUAUAUUUUCUGUUCAGAUGUUUAAUCAUUAAGGAGCCAAAUGUUCUAUGCUCUACCAAAGGUGUACAGAAUCACCAAAGGUAGAGAUGAGAUCUAAAUGGUUAGUCUAUUUCCCUGCCAUUGCAGUAUUGUUCUCCAUAGAUAACUAUUCUAGAACAUUGUCUGGUCUGAUCUUAAAUGUCUUAAAUAGCAUGUAUCACCUGUCUUGGGAAAUUAUCAUCAACCUAAUAGAUCUUUCAUGAAGCUUGUAUUUAAGUUCAUUCCAUUAUCUGUCUACAUUAUUUUCAAAGGAUUUUGUCACUGUGAUUAUUAUCCAGUUAUUACCUCUUGUAUUACCCCAAAUAAUUUCUUUCUCCUUAAUGUUUACAAUUGGAAUGUUUGGAAAACUUGAAUGCUAAGUUUGUUACAGUAUUUAAAAUGUUAUAAUGUUCCAUAAUAUGAAGAAUAUUUUUGGCCAUAGGGAUAAAAGCUAAAUAGUUUUGUUUCACUGAGUUGUGGGAUGGUUUGCAUUAUCAGAGUUUAGAUCAUCUUAUCAAUGAAACAUUGCUUGUAAGUAAAACUUCCUUGUAAAUUACCUUUUUUUAUAGAAGGGAGAAAUAUCCUGUAUUUUCACAUAAAAUUCAGUAGAAAACUAUAAUUAUGGAAAAGCUGCUAAUAUGGAUUUUUCAAUGUCAACAUUUGAAUAUAAAGUGCUUAGGUAUUAAUUGUCCACUUCAUUUUAAAUGGUCACUACAACAUGUAUGAACCCCUUAUGCUUAAUAGUCUGUCCCAGUUUGCAUUUAGCUUGGACACUCUGGUUACCUUCCCCAGACCUGAAGAAA
RNA transcript from Gopherus flavomarginatus (Mexican gopher tortoise), 2409 nucleotides. It is a transcript of the gene named TDP-glucose 4,6-dehydratase, with no coding region annotated. The record is from RefSeq and is a predicted model, not a curated record. Lineage: Eukaryota; Metazoa; Chordata; Testudines; Testudinidae. The transcript has 13 exons.